RNAcentral lists this ribosomal RNA (170 nucleotides) under Escherichia coli. Its description in RNAcentral is "partial 16S ribosomal RNA". It matches the Rfam family "Bacterial small subunit ribosomal RNA", at positions 1 to 164 of the family's 1533-position model. Lineage: Bacteria; Pseudomonadati; Pseudomonadota; Gammaproteobacteria; Enterobacterales; Enterobacteriaceae. The record is from RNAcentral.
AAAUUGAAGAGUUUGAUCAUGGCUCAGAUUGAACGCUGGCGGCAGGCCUAACACAUGCAAGUCGAACGGUAACAGGAAUCAGCUUGCUGAUUUGCUGACGAGUGGCGGACGGGUGAGUAAUGUCUGGGAAACUGCCUGAUGGAGGGGGAUAACUACUGGAAACGGUAGCU